This 85-nucleotide small nucleolar RNA is filed under the name Macleaya cordata. The record is from RNAcentral. Lineage: Eukaryota; Viridiplantae; Streptophyta; Magnoliopsida; Ranunculales; Papaveraceae.
UGGCAAUGAUUACAUAUAUCCGCGCUUCUGAGAGUAAUCUAUGAAGCAAAGUACGGUAAAUGGUUGAAUUUCUUGAUAUGAGCCA